RNAcentral lists this ribosomal RNA (254 nucleotides) under uncultured bacterium. RNAcentral's name for it is "partial 16S ribosomal RNA". It matches the Rfam family "Bacterial small subunit ribosomal RNA", at positions 524 to 776 of the family's 1533-position model. The record is from RNAcentral.
UACGUAGGGUGCAGGCGUUAAUCGGAAUUACUGGGCGUAAAGGGUGCGCAGGCGGUCUCGUAAGCUGGGUGUGAAAGCCCCGGGCUUAACCUGGGAAUGGCAUUCAGGACUGCUAGGCUUUGAGUGUGGCAGAGGGAGGUGGAAUUCCACGUGUAGCAGUGAAAUGCGUAGAGAUGUGGAGGAACACCGAUGGCGAAGGCAGCCUCCUGGGCCAGCACUGACGCUCAUGCACGAAAGCGUGGGGAGCAAACAGG